Molecule: long non-coding RNA, 1036 nt
Organism: Mustela lutreola (European mink)
Lineage: Eukaryota; Metazoa; Chordata; Mammalia; Carnivora; Mustelidae
Exons: 2
Source: RefSeq, a predicted model, not a curated record
UUGAACUCCAGAGGUUUAAGAUUAAGUCCAAUCCAAGUGUCUGAAGGGGAAGAAAAAAAAAAAAAAGGCAAGAGAGAAGGCGAAUAAGAGAGGGAAAGAAUCCCAGCUGCUGGGUGGUGCUACUGUUCUGAGAGCAUUUGAGCUAUUUUCAGUAUUCACAGCAGCCGGAGUUGUCUGCAAAGGGACGAAAAAGCCGUGCCUGAGUGGCCACCUCCCUCCCCCUUGCCUCACGUGGUGGUGGUGUGUGUGGGGGGGGUGCACACACCAGGAAACCCACAACAACUUGGUUCACCGUACAACUACUCAUUUAAAUUUGGGGGAAAACUGCCAGCGCUAUUGGAAAUGACAGCAAAAAAAAAAAAAAAAAAAUCUUGACUGAAAUCUUAAGGAAACACAGUGCCUGGCCAUAAUCCUCAAGUUUCCAGAAUGACUUAACCUGAUUUGUUGACACUAAGAUGGACUAUGUGUGCCUUCUUGAGAGGGAAGAGGUUUCUUCGGACAUUUCCUCACUUAGAGACUGGGGACCAUUCAGUGACACGAUGAGACAGACACGGAUCCCCUGCUUCUGCCUCCAAAGAAGUGAUUCAGAUUGGGCCGCCAGCAAUGACCAGCAGACUUUGCGCCUUCCCUUUGUUUCUAGAAUUAUAAAUUAAGAUCUGGGUGUUCUGUGCCUUCAUUCAUUCAGCAUUUUAUGAGGCAAGUACUUCUGAGCCUCCUCUCUGUCACAUGUUCGGGGAAUACAAUAGUGGGACAAAAUAUUGUCCUUGUCUCUGUAUAGCACAGAGAGGCAGCAAGCAUAAAGAAUCUAUGUUGUAAUCUUUGAUGGCUUCUUUUUCCCAUGAGGAUCUCUUCAAACCUUAGCGACUGGAGAUCAGGAUUUCUUUCUACUGUGACUGAAGGAAGAUGCACGAUGGGUGGUCAUCAGACCAACUUCUGGCUUCUGUGGUUUACUCUGCAUUGUACAACACCCCGUAGAAGGAGAUUUGUUCCUUCCUACCCAAGGAAACAUAGUUAAGUAUUAAAAGCCUUGAAUCCA